CACAGUUACUGGGGGAGCCUGUAAUGCGGGCUGAGAUGGAAUCGGGCAAGAUUCCGGACCCUUUGCACCUGAUCUGGAUCAUACCAGCGUAGGGAAGUAAUCGGCCAUUGAA
Regulatory RNA element from Paenibacillus polymyxa SC2, 112 nucleotides. It matches the Rfam family "TPP riboswitch aptamer (THI element)". From Rfam's summary of the family: Vitamin B(1) in its active form thiamin pyrophosphate (TPP) is an essential coenzyme that is synthesised by coupling of pyrimidine and thiazole moieties in bacteria. The previously detected thiamin-regulatory element, thi box was extended, resulting in a new, highly conserved RNA secondary structure, the THI element, which is widely distributed in eubacteria and also occurs in some archaea. Analysis of operon structures identified a large number of new candidate thiamin-regulated genes, mostly transporters, in various prokaryotic organisms. Lineage: Bacteria; Bacillati; Bacillota; Bacilli; Caryophanales; Paenibacillaceae. The record is from Rfam.